RNAcentral lists this long non-coding RNA (2975 nucleotides) under Lytechinus variegatus (green sea urchin). Its description in RNAcentral is "uncharacterized LOC121422133". The record is from RNAcentral. Lineage: Eukaryota; Metazoa; Echinodermata; Echinoidea; Temnopleuroida; Toxopneustidae.
CGAGACUAAGAUCUAGGCCUAUAUGGUAUAUGCAUAGAAAACAAGGGAAAAUCCAAAUCAUGGUUACAUGUAGCUCGCUUUGUUCAUUCGCAAGGGCUCAUGAUCCGGGCACUGCACUGCAUGCAUGCCGGGCAUGCGGCGCGCGCAGAUCAUCUCACGUCGCUCGCGCUCGAUCAACGCAUUAUUAACGUAGGCUACACUAUACGUCAUUCUGGCCUCGCUCAUGAAUGUGCUGAAUUUAUGGCAUCAUAAAGGUAUGAAGUAUUUGAUGCCCAAUGCAAGUGCCAGCUGGGAUUCACAUUCCACCAUCGGUAAUUGGCUUUCUCACUGCCACAUCAUCCAACUGGCAAUAGUUUUGAAAAUGCCAUCAUGCAGUCCCAAACAGAACUCCCUUCAAUUUUGCUCUGCUAACCCUGCAAUCUACAUGUAGGAGAGUUGUGUGAAUUUGUUGCUUUGAGUCCUCAUUACAAAUUGAAAGUUGUGUGAAACAGUGUGAAGGAAGCCAAACUUGUUGAUUUUAAGUAUCAACAUGGUCUUUGCCUGCAGACUACCUUAUUUCAUUGUGCUAAACAUUGGAAUGCCCGCUGUCUUUUCCAUGGCCAUCUCGAGAGAUCGUCAGUGAUGCCAUUCACCUGUACACUUUGAUAAUGCAAGAAACUUCAGCAGUAAAGGAGGCAAUAUAUUUUUUAAAAGAAGACCAUUUCAUGUCGAAAGUACAGAGUCAGGUUUAUGCGUUUGCUGUUGAACAGUCGCCCUUAGUUCAGACGCCAUUAUGAAGAAGAAUAUCGCCCAACUAAAGUCGCUCUAUCUUGGGUAUUGUCAAUUCUCUUAAGGCCGCUAAUCUCGACUCGGCCACUGCUUGACAAGGAAUAGAGCCAAGUGGUGGGGCCUCGUCAAAAGGCUUAGACUGUCCAUGAUUCUCUUACUUUUAUAUUGAUGACGUUAACGUUGGAAGUGUCUUCUCGAUAAAGAUUUUGCUUAGUAUGACGUGUAAGAGAGACUGUUUUUUUUUUGGGGGGAUGGGUGCAGGAUUAGGUUUGAUUAUUUUGUAAUUUUCGUUUAAACAUUUUUUAACUGUAUAUUAAGUAUGGAUUUUCAUUUUUUUUAUUUAUAUGUGUGUUGGUGUGUGUGUGUUAUACAGUGCCUAUCAAUACAAAGUUUACACUUCAAAAAAGUCCUGGGGAUUGACAACAUGUGGAUAUUUUUUCACAUAUAUUCUUGGGUUUGUGUUUCAUCUAUCAGAUGACAGCAACAAUUUUGACAUAAUUUAACACUUGAGUGAGCACUGUCCAUUUUUGUAAAGCUUGCAGAUAUUGGUUUACGCAAAAAAUGAUAAUUUUCGUGCUGUGUCAUGGAAAAAAGCCAAAAACAAUCUGAGCGUGCGGUUCAUUUCUCAUAAAAUUAUUUUUGCAUUUUUAGCCAAUCGAAAUAAAACAGAUACAUUUUUUAACAACUUUGCCACCAAAAUCAAUAUUUUGACCCUUGGUAAGCACAUCAACUAGCUUUUUUGUGCCAGCUGGAUCUGGGGGCAUGAGUGAAUGUAAACAAAACUUUACUUCAGACAUUUCCAGUAUUUUUUUUCACUAAGUUUUUGUCAUUUAGAGUGGGCUUACAUUUCAUAUUUCAUUUAAUACUCGUUUCUUCACACUGUUCCCCAAGUUGAUAAAGAGUAACAGAAGGAAAAUAUAGCAUGUGAAUCACAGCUCUGCGUAAAUAUCAUCACGAUGGCCUCGGUGUGUGGGGAUGGGGGGGGGGGGUCGCAGUGGCGCUCUACAUGUAUGAAGUGUUUUGGGCAAGGAGGCAGGUUAAAAAGGUAAAAGGUAUCUUCAAAUAAAUCUUUCUAGCAAAAGUUCAUGUGUUUUCAUGAUUGUCGUCCACUUUUAUUCAUAUACAUGUAACUAUUUCCAAGUUCUGCGCAAAUAAUUUUUCACAAACUUUUCAAAAGUAACUGUUGCUCACUCAAGUGGAAACAUUUUUCAACAGUUAUAUCGCGAUUUGCUGAAAGAGAUCUGUACCAAUGUUUAAAUGCAGAAAACGGCUUCAGGAUAUUACAUAAUAUAAUUUUAGAGGAUUUUUUUUUACUGUUUUUGUGAUACGCACUGUAGAGUUAGUUCAUUUGACUUUUUUUCUCAUUUUUUGCAUAAUUUUAUAGUUUUGAAUCAGCAUCCAUUAGUAUCCAUGUACAAUCAGGUUAUUGUUUGGCUUUUAUUCUUAUUCUACAAUUUUUUUACUACUGGUACAAGUAAUAGUGCCUGUGUAUUGGUACCACAGAAAACCUUAAUUUGUGAGAGGUACAUGUUCAUAACUCAUGUUUUGCAUACUGUUACCAAAAGAAUGAUUUAACUUGGUUGAUCAUACAAGUAUUUACAGUACAUGUAUACCUGAUCAGUUGUUUUUCAACAUUUGAAUACAUAUUGUCCUUGAAAUCAAGUAAUCAUUUAGGCCAGUUCAUUUUAUUGAUGGUUUUAUACAUAUACACUGUAUGUAGAUCUCCACAUAUUACUUGUUGAAUUGGGAAGAGGAUGGAUUUUUAUUUGAGUGGUUUUGACAUUAAUUUGAAUUAAAAUGAUGACAAAACAACCUUUUUUACAAAAUGUAUUUGAUGUUCUCUUCCAAAUACAUUAGAAUAUGUUAAAAAUGAUUCUUCGUCAAAAAUAAUGUUUCAUAGAAAUUAAUGCAAAAAAAAAUGAAAUAGAUUAUGCAGAAGCCAAGAAUUACAAUUUUGACAAAAAAGAGUGGGGGUCAACCGUCAACUACCUUUUAGUCCCAAAUCAUUUUUUGGGUUGCACCCCCUCAAUGUUUGACCAAUAUUUCUGAAAAUGAUGUCAAAAUGCUCAGGAGCACAAGCUGCAUCUAUGGAGUUGGUCCUGUCUGUGAUCUAAAACAUCACCAUUCUAUAGCCCACCACUAGUAUUAUAUAACACAUUUUUUCCAUAACCUUGUUAAUUUGUAUUUUUUGUUAUGUUUAGCCUGAU